This 431-nucleotide ribosomal RNA is filed under the name Acanthamoeba culbertsoni. RNAcentral's name for it is "SSU rRNA". It matches the Rfam family "Eukaryotic small subunit ribosomal RNA", at positions 775 to 1097 of the family's 1831-position model. Lineage: Eukaryota; Discosea; Longamoebia; Acanthamoebidae. The record is from RNAcentral.
UCAAAGCAGGCAGAUCCAAUUUUCUGCCACCGAAUACAUUAGCAUGGGAUAAUGGAAUAGGACCCUGUCCUCCUAUUUUCAGUUGGUUUUGGCAGCGCGAGGACUAGGGUAAUGAUUAAUAGGGAUAGUUGGGGGCAUUAAUAUUUAAUUGUCAGAGGUGAAAUUCUUGGAUUUAUGAAAGAUUAACUUCUGCGAAAGCAUCUGCCAAGGAUGUUUUCAUUAAUCAAGAACGAAAGUUAGGGGAUCGAAGACGAUCAGAUACCGUCGUAGUCUUAACCAUAAACGAUGCCGACCAGCGAUUAGGAGACGUUGAAUACAAAACACCACCAUCGGUUGCGCGGUCGUCCUUGGCGUCUCGGUUUCGGCCGGGGCGCGGGGAUGGCUUAGCCCGGUGGCACCGGUGAAUGACUCCCCUAGCAGCUUGUGAGAAA